RNAcentral lists this ribosomal RNA (406 nucleotides) under uncultured bacterium. RNAcentral's name for it is "bacterial SSU rRNA". It matches the Rfam family "Bacterial small subunit ribosomal RNA", at positions 355 to 776 of the family's 1533-position model. The record is from RNAcentral.
UGAGGAAUUUUCUGCAAUGGGCGAAAGCCUGACAGAGCAAUACCACGUGGGGGAUGAAGGCCUAUGGGUUGUAAACCCCUUUUCUCAAGGAGGAAUAUCUGACGUUACUUGAGGAAUAAGCAUCGGCUAACCCUGUGCCAGCAGCCGCGGUAAUACAGGGGAUGCAAGUGUUAUCCGGAAUUAUUGGGCGUAAAGCGUCUGCAGGUUGAUAUUUAAGUCUUUUGUUAAAGCUUCAGGCUCAACCUGAAAUCCGCAAAAGAAACUAUUUAUCUUGAGUAUGGUAGAGGUAAAGGGAAUUUUCAGUGGAGCGGUGAAAUGCGUAGAUAUUGAAAGGAACACCAAUGGCGAAGGCACUUUACUGGGCCAUAACUGACACUCAGAGACGAAAGCUAGGGGAGCAAACAGG